This is an RNA transcript of Populus euphratica (Euphrates poplar), 1081 nucleotides long. It is a transcript of the gene named DCN1-like protein 4, with no coding region annotated. The record is from RefSeq and is a predicted model, not a curated record. NCBI's taxonomy places the organism in Eukaryota, Viridiplantae, Streptophyta, Magnoliopsida, Malpighiales, Salicaceae. The transcript is spliced from 12 exons.
CUCUCUCUCUCUCUCUCUCUCAUUGUAAACUCUCUCUUCUUGUGUCUGGAAAGUGGAGCUUGGCAUCAGGAGCUUUUAGAGAGAAAAAGCCACUGAAGAAGCUUCCUUUCACUGCCUCCCUCAGAUGCGUCGGUCUGCAUCGAAGAAGACGGGUCAAUCCAUUUCUACCACUGCUUCAAUUACUUCUUCGGCUACGGAUCUUUUUCGCUCCUCCUCAAGUAAAGCAUCUUCAAAAGAAAUGGAGCGAAUCGAUAACCUAUUUUACUCAUAUGCAAACAGGUCUUCUGGUAUGAUUGACCCAGAAGGAAUUGAAACUCUAUGUUCAGAUAUGGAGGUGGAUCAUACUGAUGUUAGAAUCUUGAUGCUAGCUUGGAAAAUGAGAGCUGAAAAACAGGGAUACUUUACCCUGGAGGAGUGGCGACAGGGCCUCAAAUCACUGAGGGCUGAUACUCUAAAUAAAUUAAAAAAGGCCCUCCCGGAUCUAGAGAAAGAGGUUAAGAGGCCAUCAAACUUUGUGGAUUUCUAUAACUAUGCAUUCCGGUAUUGCCUAACAGAGGAGAAACAAAAGAGUAUAGACAUAGAGAGCAUCUGCCAAUUGUUGGAUCUUGUUUUAGGAUCCCAUUUCCAGGCCCAGGUUGAUUUCUUCAUUGAGUAUCUAAAGAUUCAGAGUGAUUAUAAGGUCAUAAACAUGGAUCAGUGGAUGGGCUUUUACCGUUUUUGCAACGAGAUAAGUUUUCCAGACUUCAGUAAUUAUGAUCCAGAGCUUGCAUGGCCCCUGAUCCUGGACAAUUUUGUAGAAUGGAUGCGAGCCAAAAGGACCUAAAAUCCAAUGCUUUUGGUUACUUGGUUCUCAGCUGUAAACCAUUGUUGUUAUUUGAGCAGGAUUAUUGGAACUACACCAAUUGAACUCCCCUGUAUUUGUAACUUCCCUUGUUACUUGGUUUAUUUUAAUCCUGUUCUCCACCAAACUUUGUAUUUCACGCUCAAAUUCAAAGUGAUGUUUACUUGUCGUUGUCCAUGCAAGUUCUGCUUGUUGCUGGGAUAGAUACCGUUCAAGAAAAUUCUCCAUUGAGUUUGAGUA